CAGGCUAACACAUGCAAGUCGAGCGGAUGAGUGGAGGCUUGCUCCAUGAUUCAGCGGCGGACGGGUGAGUAAUGCCUAGGAAUCUGCCUGGUAGUGGGGGGACAACGUUCGAAAGGAACGCUAAUACCGCAUACGUCCUACGGGAGAAAGCAGGGGACCUUCGGGCCUUGCGCUAUCAGAUGAGCCUAGGUCGGAUUAGCUAGUUGGUGAGGUAAUGGCUCACCAAGGCGACGAUCCGUAACUGGUCUGAGAGGAUGAUCAGUCACACUGGAACUGAGACACGGUCCAGACUCCUACGGGAGGCAGCAGUGGGGAAUAUUGGACAAUGGGCGAAAGCCUGAUCCAGCCAUGCCGCGUGUGUGAAGAAGGUCUUCGGAUUGUAAAGCACUUUAAGUUGGGAGGAAGGGCAGUUACCUAAUACGUAAUUGUUUUGACGUUACCGACAGAAUAAGCACCGGCUAACUCUGUG
This 469-nucleotide ribosomal RNA is filed under the name uncultured bacterium. RNAcentral describes it as "bacterial SSU rRNA". It matches the Rfam family "Bacterial small subunit ribosomal RNA", at positions 43 to 507 of the family's 1533-position model. The record is from RNAcentral.